RNAcentral lists this non-coding RNA (53 nucleotides) under unclassified sequences. Its description in RNAcentral is "Li+-I sequence". It matches the Rfam family "nhaA-I RNA". Rfam says of the family: Acidobacteria, Alphaproteobacteria, Betaproteobacteria and Gammaproteobacteria, Verrucomicrobia, cand. division NC10. Downstream gene The record is from Rfam by way of RNAcentral.
GGGUGGGAGGCAGUUGUUGCCUCUCAGGAUUUCAAGUGGUCGGGCCGCCACCU